UACAGAGGGUGCGAGCGUUAAUCGGAUUUACUGGGCGUAAAGCGUGCGUAGGCGGCUUUUUAAGUCUCGCGUGAAAUCCCCCGGCUCAACUUGGGAAUUGCAUUCGAUACUGGGAAGCUAGAGUAUGGGAGAGGAUGGUAGAAUUCCAGGUGUAGCGGUGAAAUGCGUAGAGAUCUGGAGGAAUACCCAUGGCGAAGGCAGCCAUCUGGCCUAAUACUGACGCUGAGGUACGAAAGCAUGGGGAGCAAACAGG
This 253-nucleotide unclassified non-coding RNA is filed under the name uncultured Moraxellaceae bacterium. RNAcentral describes it as "contains 16S-23S intergenic spacer region". It matches the Rfam family "Bacterial small subunit ribosomal RNA", at positions 524 to 776 of the family's 1533-position model. The record is from RNAcentral. Lineage: Bacteria; Pseudomonadati; Pseudomonadota; Gammaproteobacteria; Moraxellales; Moraxellaceae.